UUAGUAUCUUGAGAUAAAAGUCAGAGCCAAAGUGUUAGUCGUUCGGUUGUAUCUGACUCUUUGCAACACAAUGGACUGUAGCCCGCCAGGCACUUCUGUCCAUGGGAUUCUCCAGAAAAGAAUACUGGAGUGGGUUGCUGUUUCCUCCUCCAGGGGA
This is a long non-coding RNA of Cervus elaphus (red deer), 157 nucleotides long. RefSeq lists it as uncharacterized. The transcript is spliced from 3 exons. NCBI's taxonomy places the organism in Eukaryota, Metazoa, Chordata, Mammalia, Artiodactyla, Cervidae. The record is from RefSeq and is a predicted model, not a curated record.